RNAcentral lists this ribosomal RNA (604 nucleotides) under Alcaligenes faecalis. RNAcentral's name for it is "bacterial SSU rRNA". It matches the Rfam family "Bacterial small subunit ribosomal RNA", at positions 56 to 650 of the family's 1533-position model. The record is from RNAcentral. Lineage: Bacteria; Pseudomonadati; Pseudomonadota; Betaproteobacteria; Burkholderiales; Alcaligenaceae.
UGCAGUCGAGCGGCAGCGCGAGAGAGCUUGCUCUCUUGGCGGCGAGUGGCGGACGGGUGAGUAAUAUAUCGGAACGUGCCCAGUAGCGGGGGAUAACUACUCGAAAGAGUGGCUAAUACCGCAUACGCCCUACGGGGGAAAGGGGGGGAUCGCAAGACCUCUCACUAUUGGAGCGGCCGAUAUCGGAUUAGCUAGUUGGUGGGGUAAAGGCUCACCAAGGCAACGAUCCGUAGCUGGUUUGAGAGGACGACCAGCCACACUGGGACUGAGACACGGCCCAGACUCCUACGGGAGGCAGCAGUGGGGAAUUUUGGACAAUGGGGGAAACCCUGAUCCAGCCAUCCCGCGUGUAUGAUGAAGGCCUUCGGGUUGUAAAGUACUUUUGGCAGAGAAGAAAAGGUAUCCCCUAAUACGGGAUACUGCUGACGGUAUCUGCAGAAUAAGCACCGGCUAACUACGUGCCAGCAGCCGCGGUAAUACGUAGGGUGCAAGCGUUAAUCGGAAUUACUGGGCGUAAAGCGUGUGUAGGCGGUUCGGAAAGAAAGAUGUGAAAUCCCAGGGCUCAACCUUGGAACUGCAUUUUUAACUGCCGAGCUAGAGUAUG